Molecule: ribosomal RNA, 2842 nt
Filed under: Harryflintia acetispora
Lineage: Bacteria; Bacillati; Bacillota; Clostridia; Eubacteriales; Oscillospiraceae
Description: bacterial LSU rRNA
Rfam family: Bacterial large subunit ribosomal RNA
Source: RNAcentral
AGGUCAAGCUAUAAAGGGCGCAGGGCGAAUGCCUUGGCACCAGGAGCCGACGAAGGACGUGGCAAGCUGCGAAAAGAUACGGGGAGCCGCAAGCAGGCAUUGAUCCGUAUAUGUCCGAAUGGAGCAAUCCGGCCGGAGUAAUUUCCGGUCAUCAUACAGUGAAUCCAUAGCUGUAUGAGGGGAACCCCCUGAACUGAAACAUCUAAGUAGGGGGAGGAAGAGAAAUCAACCGAGAUUCCGCUAGUAGUGGCGAGCGAACGCGGAAGAGGCCAAACCAAAGGUAGAAAUACCAUUGGGGUUGUGGACUGCAUUUAGCAUUGACGAGACUUAGCCGAACUGCAUGGGAAGGCAGCCCGGAGGGCGUGAGAGGCGCGUAGGCGAAAAGUCGAGUCAGCGAGCAGGAUCCAGAGUACCGCGGGACACGAGGAAUCCCGUGGGAAGCCGGGGGGACCACCCUCCAAGCCUAAAUACUCCCUGGUGACCGAUAGCGUAUAGUACUGUGAAGGAAAGGUGAAAAGGACCCCGGGAGGGGAGUGAAAAAGAACCUGAAACCCUGUGCCUACAAGCACCUAGAGCACGUCAAUGUGUGAUAGGGUACUUUUUGUAGAACGGUCCGGCGAGCGUAUGUAACGAGCAAGGUUAAGGACUUAAGGUCUGAAGCCGAAGGGAAACCGAGUCUGAAUAGGGCGUCCAGUUUGUUGCAUUCGGCCCGAAACCGGGUGACCUAUCCAUGUCCAGGCUGAAGUGGAGGUAAAACUCCAUGGAGGGCCGAACCGACCUCCGUUGAAAAGGCGGCGGAUGAGGUGUGGAUAGCGGAGAAAUUCCAAUCGAACCCGGAUAUAGCUGGUUCUCCCCGAAAUAGCUUUAGGGCUAGCGUUGUGUAUGAUUACUGGAGGUAAAGCACUGAAUGGGCUAGGGGCCGAGAGGUUACCGAACCCUAUCAAACUCUGAAUGCCAGAUAAUCUUAGCACAGCAGUCAGACAGUGUGAGAUAAGUCUCAUUGUCGAAAGGGAAACAGCCCAGACCCACAGCUAAGGUCCCAAAGUCAGUUUAAGUGGAAAAGGAUGUGGAGCUGCUAAGACAACCAGGAUGUUGGCUUAGAAGCAGCCACUCAUUAAAAGAGUGCGUAAUAGCUCACUGGUCGAGUGGCUCUGCGCCGAAAAUGUAACGGGGCUAAAACUGACACCGAAGCUUGGGCUUCAUGCGAAAGCAUGAGGGGUAGGGGAGCGUCGUAUAUGGAGAGAAGUCGUAGCGAAAGCGGCGGUGGACUGUAUACGAGUGAGAAUGCCGGAAUGAGUAGCGCGAAUUAUGUGAGAAUCAUAAUGGCCGAAAGCCUAAGGUUUUAGGAGGAAGGUUCGUCCGCUCCUAGUUAGCCGGGAGCUAAGGUGAGGCCGAAAGGCGUAGCCGAUGCACAUACGGUAGAAAUUCCGUAGCCGCCAAAAGAUUUAAGUAAAGGGACACUGUCAAAGUGAGCAAUCCGGGCGUUGGUAGACCCGGUCGAAAGGGACUGAAGAUUAGUAGGGAAGUGCUCAUAGCGACAGGCGAGAAAAGCUUUAUGAAUAUCAGAGGCGCCCGUACCGCAAACCGACACAGGUAGGUAGGAAGAGAAUUCUAAGGCCAACGGGAGAAGGGUUGUUAAGGAACUCGGCAUAUUGACCCCGUAACUUCGGAAGAAGGGGUGCUCAUAGAAAUAUGAGCCGCAGAGAAUAGGUCCAGGCGACUGUUUAGCAAAAACACAGGUCUCUGCUAAAUCGAAAGAUGACGUAUAGGGGCUGACACCUGCCCGGUGCUGGAAGGUUAAGAGGAGAUGUGCAAGCAUUGAAUUGAAGCCCCAGUAAACGGCGGCCGUAACUAUAACGGUCCUAAGGUAGCGAAAUUCCUUGUCGGGUAAGUUCCGACCCGCACGAAUGGUGUAACGAUCUGGACGCUGUCUCAACAACCCGCCCGGCGAAAUUGUAGUACCGGUGAAGAUGCCGGUUACCCGCGACAAGACGGAAAGACCCCAUGGAGCUUUACUGUAGCUUAAUAUUGGAUUUCGGUAUUUCAUGUACAGGAUAGGUGGGAGGCUAAGAAGCAGGCACGCCAGUGUCUGUGGAGCCGACGUUGGGAUACCACUCUUGAGGUGCUGGAAUUCUAACCUGCGGCCGUGAAUCCGGUCGGGGGACAUUGUUAGGUGGGCAGUUUGACUGGGGCGGUCGCCUCCAAAAGAGUAACGGAGGCGCUCAAAGGUUGGCUCAGCACGGACGGAAACCGUGCUUUUGAGUGUAAACGCGUAAGCCAGCCUAACUGCGAGACCGACGGGUCGAGCAGUAACGAAAGUUGGAGUUAGUGAUCCGGUGGUAUGUGAGUGGAAAUGCCAUCGCUCAACGGAUAAAAGCUACCCUGGGGAUAACAGGCUGAUCUCCCCCAAGAGUCCACAUCGUCGGGGAGGUUUGGCACCUCGAUGUCGGCUCAUCACAUCCUGGGGCUGUAUUCGGUCCCAAGGGUUCGGCUGUUCGCCGAUUAAAGUGGUACGCGAGCUGGGUUCAGAACGUCGUGAGACAGUUCGGUCCCUAUCUGUCGUGGGCGCAGGAUAUUUGAGAGGAGCUGUCCCUAGUACGAGAGGACCGGGAUGGACGCACCUCUGGUGCACCAGUUGUUCCGCCAGGAGCACAGCUGGGCAGCUAUGUGCGGAAUGGAUAAACGCUGAAGGCAUCUAAGCGUGAAGCCAACCUCAAGAUAAGAUAUCCCACUGAGUCAAUCAGGUAAGACCCCUUGAAGACUACAAGGUAGAUAGGCCUCAGGUGUAAGUGCGGUGACGUAUUUAGCCAGGAGGUACUAAUCGGUCGAGGGCUUGUCCUAA